Molecule: long non-coding RNA, 348 nt
Filed under: Anser brachyrhynchus (Pink-footed goose)
Lineage: Eukaryota; Metazoa; Chordata; Aves; Anseriformes; Anatidae
Description: lncRNA (ENSABRG00000001594.1)
Source: RNAcentral
AUGACAGCCUAUUCAGUGGAGCAGUAUAUGGCUGACUACUGCAGAAAUGUUGGCAACACUAAGAAGCUGGGCUGUUGUUGUUACCCAAGGAAGAAGGAGCUCAAUCCAAAAUUCAGCAGAGAUUGGAGCCACUUCCUCGUUGUUUUAUCCUGGACAUCCAACACUUCCAAUGCCUCCCUUCUGAAGGUCGUCCAUCUUUGGAUCUAGGUGACCAAAUGCUAGCUUACAUGUCAGCUGUUCCUACCUAGCAAUGGCUAGUUCAUUUUCUAUAAAGCUGAAUUAAACUGUUUGUGAUAGUUUUAGGACAAAGGAAGGUUACAAGAGGAACAACUGGCAAGAGGAGAAGAG